UAGUACAAAAUAGUCCAAGCCUACUAUAAAACAAGCUCGGCCCCUCAGCACAAGCGUAACCUCAAUCUAUACUAAUCUAAGUAUCCACUACGCACUAACAGCGGUGAUACAAAAGAAUAACGACUCAUGAAGCUAAUUCGGUUACUUUUCGAAAAGUGACAGUGCAGGUUUAACUAGUUUUCUCCUAAGUCAAAUCCCAGUUCAGCAUGUAACAAAUCUUCUAAAAUUAUUAAAUUAGGCUCCAAAUUCAGAUUUCAUAAAAGACAUGCAAAUCUAUGAAUUUGAGCUACUAAACAUGGUGAAUAAAGCCAAGAAAUACACGCUAACAACUCUAUGACUUAGAAGAAAAUCCGACGAUUUCGGUAAACAUUAAUCUACCUCGAACGCUCAUCCAACACCGCCUAGAAGUCGAUAGAAGAAACUUCGCGCACUCGCUCGACCUCCAACGGCUCAACUGAGACAACCCACGUGCACGAAC
Molecule: long non-coding RNA, 478 nt
Filed under: Ananas comosus (pineapple)
Lineage: Eukaryota; Viridiplantae; Streptophyta; Magnoliopsida; Poales; Bromeliaceae
Description: long non-coding RNA (ACOM_LNC043654)
Source: RNAcentral